UAGCCAAAGAUGUUUCAGAUA
This 21-nucleotide non-coding RNA is filed under the name Arabidopsis thaliana (thale cress). Lineage: Eukaryota; Viridiplantae; Streptophyta; Magnoliopsida; Brassicales; Brassicaceae. The record is from RNAcentral.